GUGGACGCCAGUCUGCGUGGAGCCGACCUUGAAAUACCACCCUUUAAUGUUUGAUGUUCUAACGUGGACCCGUAAUCCGGGUUGCGGACAGUGUCUGGUGGGUAGUUUGACUGGGGCGGUCUCCUCCUAAAGAGUAACGGAGGAGCACGAAGGUUGGCUAAUCCUGGUCGGACAUCAGGAGGUUAGUGCAAUGGCAUAAGCCAGCUUGACUGCGAGCGUGACGGCGCGAGCAGGUGCGAAAGCAGGUCAUAGUGAUCCGGUGGUUCUGAAUGGAAGGGCCAUCGCUCAACGGAUAAAAGGUACUCCGGGGAUAACAGGCUGAUACCGCCCAAGAGUUCAUAUCGACGGCGGUGUUUGGCACCUCGAUGUCGGCUCAUCACAUCCUGGGGCUGAAGUAGGUCCCAAGGGUAUGGCUGUUCGCCAUUUAAAGUGGUACGCGAGCUGGGUUUAGAACGUCGUGAGACAGUUCGGUCCCUAUCUGCCGUGGGCGCUGGAGAACUGAGGGGGGCUGCUCCUAGUACGAGAGGACCGGAGUGGACGCAUCACUGGUGUUCGGGUUGUCAUGCCAAUGGCACUGCCCGGUAGCUAAAUGCGGAAGAGAUAAGUGCUGAAAGCAUCUAAGCACGAAACUUGCCCCGAGAUGAGUUCUCCCUGAGACUUAGAGUCUCCUGAAGGAACGUUGAAGACGACGACGUUGAUAGGCCGGGUGUGUAAGCGCAGCGAUGCGUUGAGCUAACCGGUACUAAUGAACCGUGAGGCUUAACCUUACAA
Molecule: ribosomal RNA, 771 nt
Filed under: Salmonella enterica subsp. enterica serovar Muenchen
Lineage: Bacteria; Pseudomonadati; Pseudomonadota; Gammaproteobacteria; Enterobacterales; Enterobacteriaceae
Description: partial 23S ribosomal RNA
Rfam family: Bacterial large subunit ribosomal RNA
Source: RNAcentral